This 27-nucleotide non-coding RNA is filed under the name Mus musculus (house mouse). Lineage: Eukaryota; Metazoa; Chordata; Mammalia; Rodentia; Muridae. The record is from RNAcentral.
UGACUUUUGCAGGCAAAUGGAUGGACC